Molecule: long non-coding RNA, 692 nt
Organism: Leopardus geoffroyi (Geoffroy's cat)
Lineage: Eukaryota; Metazoa; Chordata; Mammalia; Carnivora; Felidae
Exons: 2
Source: RefSeq, a predicted model, not a curated record
UGUGAGAUAAUGAUCUGAGCUGAAAUCAAGAGUUAGACGCUUAACUGACUGAGCCACUCAGAUGCCCCAGAGACCACUUUGAAGGAUUAGAGGGUGAUAAAAUACUUCCAUUACCAGCGUGUCUUCUAUGUACUAGGUUAUGUUAGAUACUUUAGACCUAUUUUUCUAUUUAAAUUUCACAGUGACUCUUUAAAAUAAUUGUUGUUCCUAUUUUAUAAAACAGGAAUCUAAGACUCAAUCAAUCUAUGGAUCCAAGGAUCGAAAGAAGAUAUUCCAGUUGAGUCAAAUGAAUGAGAAAUAUAUGUAUGAAAAUGGCAAUAAAUACUAGGGUUAGACACUGACUGUUCUUUUGGACCCCCAGGCAAUCCUAAGACACUGUCUGCAAGAAAGCUAACUUCAUGGAAUUUCAUGCCUCUCUGAACAAACUAUGCCAUUGAGGUCUCUGUCACUCAAAUGGUUGAGGACCAACAAGUUCCUUCAACAAAUAUUUGUGGGCUGUCACCAAAUGCCAAGAAGAAGGCUCAGCCCUAAGACUGAAAUAAUCCAUAAGGCAUAGUUUCUGUCUUUGAGGAGCUCACUUAAUUACACCCAAUAUUUAAGAUUUUCUUCAUGCCUAAUAAUUCUGAAUGUUUUGUUGCUAAUUUAUAUUUUAAUGUUGCAGUGGCAGCCUAAGUAAACUUAUUAUUUUCACU